AAAUGUUAUUUUAUAAACAAAAAAAUCAUAUAAAAAACUCAAGGAUUUUAGAUCCUGAUGAUCGUUAAACGCGUCAUAACAGUGUUGUGAAAAGGGUGUAAUUGUUAAAAAUAGGUACAAACAUCAGAUAUAAACAAAAACCUAAACAAACACUUCUAUGUGCAUAACGUCAUAAAAAUACUUGUUUUAUUUACCUCGCGCUGCUGUCCUUGUACUGCCGUGAACAGGAAAUUCUGGGAAUGGAGGACGGAGAGUUGAGUCGAUUCGUCUUCAACAAACCGAUCAGUGUGACAUCAAAACAUCGCGAGAACAACAGACAGCUCCGUGUGCAUUUGAAUCCAUCUCGCGAUAUUGUAUCACUUCAGGUACGCGCCUACUGAUUCGUUGAUUCAAACGAGUUGUGAAUCAAGAAGCCUCUAAAGAUCCGAAUCAAACUGCAGCAGCACGCCACGAGGUUUUGCUCAGACUUUUGGGACGUUUGGAAUUGCUCCGUCUUGUCACCAUGUAACACAUAGCAGCAAGACCCAUGGGAUUUCAUCAGCCACUCACCAUCAGAGUCCUCAGUGGAAGCUGAGAAGAGCAGAAGAGGAAGCCAAGCAAGAGAUGCCAGAAAAAAAGGGGGAAGGAAAUAAUGUGUUAUUUUACUGUUUGAGUAUAGGCAGGCGCAGUGGGUAGCACAAUCGCCUCACAGCAAGAAGGUCGCUGGUUCGAGCCUCGGCUGGGUCAGUUGGCAUUUCUGUGUGGAGUUUGCAUGUUCUCCCCAUGUUAGCGUGGGUUUCCUCCGGGUGCUCCCACAAGUCCAAAAAUAUGUGGUGACAUUGGGUAAGGUAAAAUUGUCCGUAGUGUAUGUGUGUGAAUGAGUGUGUAUGGAUGUUUCCCAGUGAUGGGUUGCAGCUGGGUGGCAACACGGUGGCACAGUAGGUAGUGCUGUUUCCUCACAUCAAGAUGGUUUCUGCAUGGAGUUCUCCCUGCGUUCGCGUGGGUUUCCUCCGGGUGCUCCGGUUUCCCUCACAGUCCAAAGACAUGCGGUACAGGUGAAUUGGGUAGGCUAAAUUGUCCGUAGUGAAUGUGUGUGAGUGGGUGUGUAUGGAUGUUUCCCAGAGAUGGGUUGCAGCUGGAAGGGCAUCCACUGCGUAAAACAUAUGCUGGAUAAGAUGGUGGUUUAUUCCACUGUGGCGACCCCAGAUUAACAAAAGGACAAAGCCGAAGAGAAAAUGAAUGAGUAUAGGCAAUGAUAGACAAGACAAUGUUUGAUUAAUAUGAAGUCUUUUAAAAUGCUUAUUUAUUAAAAUAAAGGUUACAAAGUAAAGAAGAAA
Danio rerio (zebrafish) is the source of this 1316-nucleotide long non-coding RNA. NCBI's taxonomy places the organism in Eukaryota, Metazoa, Chordata, Actinopteri, Cypriniformes, Danionidae. The record is from Ensembl.